Molecule: ribosomal RNA, 468 nt
Filed under: uncultured bacterium
Lineage: Bacteria
Description: partial 16S ribosomal RNA
Rfam family: Bacterial small subunit ribosomal RNA
Source: RNAcentral
GUCGAACGCUGGCGGCGUGCUUAACACAUGCAAGUCGAACGGAAAGGCCCUGCUUGCGUGGGGUGCUCGCGUGGCGAACGGGUGAGUAACCCGUGAGUAACCUUCCCUUGACUUUGGGAUGACUUCAGGAAACUGGGGCUAAUACCUGAUAGGAGCUCCUGCUGCAUGGGGGGGGUUGGAACGUUUCGGCGGUUGGGGAUGGACUCGCGGCUUAUCAGCUUGUUGGUGGGGUAGUGGCUUACCCAGGCUUUGACGGGUAGCCGGCCUGAGAGGGUGAGCGGCCACAUUGGGACUGAGAGACGGCACAGACUCCUACGGGAGGCAGCAGUGGGGAAUAUUGCACAAUGGGCGGACGCCUGAUGCAGAAACGCCGCGUGCGGGAUGACGGCCUUCGGGUUGUAAACCGCUUUCGGUUGUGACGAAGCGUGAGUGACGGUAAUGGGUAAAGAAGCACCGGCUAACUACGUG